RNAcentral lists this unclassified non-coding RNA (382 nucleotides) under uncultured Armatimonadota bacterium. RNAcentral's name for it is "uncultured Armatimonadetes bacterium contains 16S-23S intergenic spacer region". The record is from RNAcentral. Lineage: Bacteria; Bacillati; Armatimonadota.
UCCGGCUUACACCGGCGGUCUCUUGUGAGUCCCCGACUUUACUCGCUGGUAACACAAAACGUGGGUUGCGCUCGUUGGCGGACUUAACCGUACACCUCACGGCACGAGCUGACGACAGCCAUGCAACAUCUGUCUUCACGUCCCCUUGUGGGGGAGGGGUCCUUUUCGGGACCUUGCGAUCGAUGUCAAACCUGGGUAAGGUUCUUCGGUUAGUAUCGAAUUAAACCACAUGCUCCACCGCUUGUGCGGGUCCCCGUCAAUUCAUUUGAGUUUCAACCUUGCGGCCGUAGUCCCCAGGCGGGAUACUUAACGCGUUAGCUACGGUCACGAGAGGGGUCGAUACCUCUCACGACUAGUAUCCAUCGUUUAGGGCGUGGACUAC